This 781-nucleotide ribosomal RNA is filed under the name Escherichia coli. RNAcentral's name for it is "partial 23S ribosomal RNA". It matches the Rfam family "Bacterial large subunit ribosomal RNA", at positions 2141 to 2915 of the family's 2925-position model. The record is from RNAcentral. Lineage: Bacteria; Pseudomonadati; Pseudomonadota; Gammaproteobacteria; Enterobacterales; Enterobacteriaceae.
GGAUAGGUGGGAGGCUUUGAAGUGUGGACGCCAGUCUGCAUGGAGCCGACCUUGAAAUACCACCCUUUAAUGUUUGAUGUUCUAACGUUGACCCGUGAUCCGGGUUGCGGACAGUGUCUGGUGGGUAGUUUGACUGGGGCGGUCUCCUCCUAAAGAGUAACGGAGGAGCACGAAGGUUGGCUAAUCCUGGUCGGACAUCAGGAGGUUAGUGCAAUGGCAUAAGCCAGCUUGACUGCGAGCGUGACGGCGCGAGCAGGUGCGAAAGCAGGUCAUAGUGAUCCGGUGGUUCUGAAUGGAAGGGCCAUCGCUCAACGGAUAAAAGGUACUCCGGGGAUAACAGGCUGAUACCGCCCAAGAGUUCAUAUCGACGGCGGUGUUUGGCACCUCGAUGUCGGCUCAUCACAUCCUGGGGCUGAAGUAGGUCCCAAGGGUAUGGCUGUUCGCCAUUUAAAGUGGUACGCGAGCUGGGUUUAGAACGUCGUGAGACAGUUCGGUCCCUAUCUGCCGUGGGCGCUGGAGAACUGAGGGGGGCUGCUCCUAGUACGAGAGGACCGGAGUGGACGCAUCACUGGUGUUCGGGUUGUCAUGCCAAUGGCACUGCCCGGUAGCUAAAUGCGGAAGAGAUAAGUGCUGAAAGCAUCUAAGCACGAAACUUGCCCCGAGAUGAGUUCUCCCUGACUCCUUGAGAGUCCUGAAGGAACGUUGAAGACGACGACGUUGAUAGGCCGGGUGUGUAAGCGCAGCGAUGCGUUGAGCUAACCGGUACUAAUGAACCGUGAGG